UGAAUACGAGACGCUAAGGCGUCGAAGUAGUGUAUGUCAUACUUCCAAGAAAAGCUUGCACUGUCAUAGAUAAAAAACGCCUGUACCAUAACCGACACAGGUGGGUAGGUAGAGUAUACUAAGGGGCGCGAGAUAACUCUCUCUAAGGAACUCGGCAAAAUAACUCCGUAACUUCGGGAGAAGGAGUGCCUUAUUAUUAAGGCUGCAAUAACAAGAUCCAAGCAACUGUUUAUCAAAAACACAGGUCUCCGCUAAGUCGUAAGACGAUGUAUGGGGGCUGACGCCUGCCCAGUGCCAGAAGGUUAAAGAAGUUGGUUAGCAUUUGCGAAGCUGAUAACUGAAGCCCUGGUGAACGGCGGCCGUAACAAUAACGGUCCUAAGGUAGCGAAAUUCCUUGUCGGGUAAGUUCCGACCCGCACGAAAGGCGUAAUGAUUUGGAUACUGUCUCGGAGAGGGGCUCGGUGAAAUAGACUUGUCUGUGGAGAUGCGGACUACCUGCACCAGGACAGAAAGACCCUAUAAGCUUUACUGUAACUUGAAAUUGAAAUUGGACUUUAUUCGCGCAGCAUAGGUGGGAGGCGUUGAUUAUAAUCUUGUGGGAUUAUUGGAGCCAUCAGUGAGAUACCACUCUUGUAAUGUUAGAUUUCUAACUUUGAAUCAUUAUCUGGUCAAAGAACAGUUUCAGGCGGGCAGUUUGACUGGGGCGGUCGCCUCCUAAACGGUAACGGAGGCGUACAAAGGUUUCCUCUGAACGGUUAGAAAUCGUAUCUAGAGUGUAAAGGCAUAAGGAAGCUUGACUGUGAGACCUACAAGUCGAGCAGGGACGAAAGUCGGUCUUAGUGAUCUGACGGUACUGAGUGGAAAGGCCGUCACUCAACGGAUAAAAGUUACUCUAGGAUAACAGGCUGAUCUCCCCCAAGAGUUCACAUCGACGGGGAGGUUUGGCACCUCGAUGUCGGCUCAUCGCAUCCUGGGGCGGUAGUACGUCCCAAGGGUUGGGCUGUUCGCCCAUGAAAGCGGUACGCGAGCUGGGUUCAGAACGUCGUGAGACAGUUCGGUCCAUAUCCGGUGUAGGCGUUAGAAUAUUGAGAGGAGCCUUCUUUAGUACGAGAGGACCGAGAAGGACAUACCUCUGGUGUACCAGUUAUCGUGCCAACGGUAAACGCUGGGUAGCUAUGUAUGGAGUGGAUAACCGCUGAAAGCAUCUAAGUGGGAAGCCCACCUCAAGAUAAGUAUUCUC
This 1240-nucleotide ribosomal RNA is filed under the name metagenome. RNAcentral describes it as "bacterial LSU rRNA". It matches the Rfam family "Bacterial large subunit ribosomal RNA", at positions 1564 to 2815 of the family's 2925-position model. The record is from RNAcentral.